AGUUAAAUGUUCUUAGUGAACAUAGCGAACUGCUCAGUAACACGUGGAUAACCUACCCUUAGGACCGGAAUAACCCCGGGAAACUGGGGAUAAUACCGGAUAAGCCAUAUACGCUGGAAUGCCCUAUGGUUCAAAGCUCCGGCGCCUAAGGAUGGAUCUGCGGUCUAUCAGGUUGUAGUGGGUGUAACGUACCUACUAGCCGACGACGGAUACGGGUUGUGAGAGCAAGAGCCCGGAGAUGGAUUCUGAGACACGAAUCCAGGCCCUACGGGGUGCAGCAGGCGCGAACACUUUACAAUGCGGGAAACCGCGAUAAGGGAACCCCGAGUGCCAGCAUCAAAUGUUGGCUGUCCAGAUGAUUAAAAAUCAUUUGUUAGCAAGGGCCGGGCAAGACCGGUGCCAGCCGCCGCGGUAACACCGGCGGCCCGAGUGGUAGCCGUUUUUAUUGGGUCUAAAGGGUCCGUAGCCGGGCUGAUAAGUCCUUUGGGAAAUCUGGCAGCUUAACUGUCAGGCUUCUAAGGGAUACUGUCAGGCUUGGGACCGGAAGAGGUAAGGGGUACUCCAGGGGUAGGAGUGAAAUCUUGUAAUCCCUGGGGGACC
RNAcentral lists this ribosomal RNA (600 nucleotides) under uncultured archaeon. Its description in RNAcentral is "bacterial SSU rRNA". It matches the Rfam family "Archaeal small subunit ribosomal RNA", at positions 56 to 658 of the family's 1478-position model. The record is from RNAcentral.